Molecule: ribosomal RNA, 793 nt
Filed under: uncultured bacterium
Lineage: Bacteria
Description: bacterial SSU rRNA
Rfam family: Bacterial small subunit ribosomal RNA
Source: RNAcentral
AAAGCGCUCGCAGGCGGUCUUUUAAGUCUGAUGUGAAAUCUCGCGGCUUAACAGCGAGCGGUCAUUGGAAACUGGAGGACUUGAGUACAGAAGAGGAGAGUGGAAUUCCACGUGUAGCGGUGGGAUGCGUAGAGAUGUGGAGGAACACCAGUGGCGUAGGCGACUCUCUGGUCUGUAACUGACGCUGAGGAGCGAAAGCGUGGGGAGCGAACAGGAUUAGAUACCCUGGUAGUCCACGCAGUAAACGAUGAGUGCUAGGUGUUAGGGGGUUUCCGCCCCUUAGUGCUGAAGUUAACGCAUUAAGCACUCCGCCUGGGGAGUACGGCCGCAAGGCUGAAACUCAAAAGAAUUGACGGGGGCCCGCACAAGCGGUGGAGCAUGUGGUUUAAUUCGAAGCAACGCGAAGAACCUUACCAGGUCUUGACAUCCUCUGCGACCGGUAGAGAUACCGGGUUCCCUACGGGGACAGAGUGACAGGUGGUGCAUGGUUGUCGUCAGCUCGUGUCGUGAGAUGUUGGGUUAAGCCCCGUAACGAGCGCAACCCUUGAGAUUAGUUGCCAGCAUUAAGUUGGGCACUCUAAUCUGACUGCCGGUGACAAACCGGAGGAAGGUGGGGAUGACGUCAAAUCAUCAUGCCCCUUAUGACCUGGGCUACACACGUGCUACAAUGGAUGGAACAAAGGGCAGCGAAGCGGCGACGCAUUAGCAAAUCCCAUAAAACCAUUCUCAGUUCGGAUUGCAGGCUGCAACUCGCCUGCAUGAAGCCGGAAUCGCUAGUAAUCGCGGAUCAACA